This is a long non-coding RNA of Oncorhynchus tshawytscha (Chinook salmon), 1745 nucleotides long. The record is from Ensembl. NCBI's taxonomy places the organism in Eukaryota, Metazoa, Chordata, Actinopteri, Salmoniformes, Salmonidae.
CAAGUGUCAGUGCUAUCCGGAAUCAUUGGGACGUCCUUAACACAGACAGAAGGGGCUAUAAGUAUCUUUGUCCCUACUCUAAAACCCCUAACGUAACCAUUUAACAUUUCAGAUUCAAUGCGUGGUAGGGACGUCCAAGGGAACUCGGAUAGCAAUGACCCUGUGGUAAGAAGGCAGAGGCACUAGAUUUUUUUUAUAACUUUGGAGAUACAGUACUUUUUUUGUCCGGCUCAUUAAUAUUGUAACAACAUAACAUGGUGUCAGAAUAAACCGCGAAAAAUGGAAGAUGGCUCUGUUACAACCAACAUCUAGCUUGUCUACAAGGACAUUUUUGUUGAAGACUGGAAGAUUUGGAUACACAAGUUUGAAUUGUUUCUGACCGCGAGUGGCAUUGCUGAAAAGGAGGAGAAAGUGCAAUGUGCUACGUUCUAGACAUCGCGGGAGAGGAGGCAAUCAAGGGAUGCAAACAGGUUUGAAUUUGCCGAAGGCGAGAAAGACAAGAUUGCCAUGCUGAAACAGAAAAAGAGACCAGCUGUUGAAAGAGGCAGAUCUCACAUUGGCUAAAGCUAUUAAUGUGUGUUGUGCUAGUAAAAUCACGUCCAGUGGGGUAAAAAUGGUCAAUGAGGAAGUUGAAGUACGCCAUAUAAAAAGUGUCAGUACUGCAGAGGUUCAAGAAGAACAGAGCAAAGGCAGCUCAAGAUGAACUAAAUAUGUGUGUCAAUUGCAAUAGAUGUGGUUGCAAGCAUGAGCACAGAAAAUGCCCAGCCUAUGGUCAAGUAUGUAAAUCCUGCCAAAAGAAGAAGAAUCUUAGAGCCAACCGAGGAUAAUGCACACCGUUGAGCAGAGUGUUCCAGAGACCCUUGGCACAGAUGAUUGAAGCCCUGGAUGGAGUCGUCAACGAUCAUUUGUUGGUCUGGGGUGAAACUAAGGAGGAACAUGACCGCAGACUGGUCAAGCUGCUACAGAGCGAGCGAGUACAAUCUAAAACUAAACAGGAAGAAAUGUAAAAAGGUAAUAACAGAGAUAAAGUACACUGGUCACAUGCUAAUGGCCAGUGGUCUGAAACCAGAUGAGGACCGUGGUGCAGAUGCUAAUGGCCAGGGGUCUGAAACCAGAUGAGGGCUGUGAUGCAGAUGCUAAUGGCCAGGGGUCUGAAACCAGAUGAUGAGGGCCGUGGUGCAGAUGCUAAUGGCCAGGGGUCUGAAACCAGAUGAUGAGGGCCGUGGUGCAGAUGCUAAUGGCCAGGGGUCUGAAACCAGAUGAUGAGGGCCGUGGUGCAGAUGCUAAUGGCCAGUGGUCUGAAACCAGAUGAUGAGGGCUGUGGUGCAGAUGCUAAUGGCCAGGGGUCUGAAACCAGAUGAUGAGGGCUGUGAUGCAGAUGCAAAUGGCCAGUGGUCUGAAACCAGAUGAUGAGGGCUGUGGUGCAGAUGCUAAUGGCCAGUGGUCUGAAACCAGAUGAUGAGAAGGUGUGGGCCAUGGUGCAGCUGCCUCUACCCGAAGACAAACAAGCACUGCAGAGAUUCAUGUGCAUUCUACACCAAUCUUGCCUAAUUCAUUCCCAACCUGUCUGAGGUGAACGCUCUGCUCAGAAAGCUACUUGAGAGUGACACUGAAUGGCAUUAGGAACAAAAACAUAAGAACUGUUUUUUUUGUGUGUUUUUUUUACUCAAAAGACUGGCAACAAAUGCAAAUGACCUGAAUAAACCCCUAUUACUUUCACUAGAUGUCAGUUCAGGAGGUAUGGG